CGCACAGCAGAAACCCUGACCAAAGCAUUCAUUGCUCCAGCCUUUUUGUGGUGGUUAAAUCCAGGUCUCUUUUCUCUGGAAACGUACACCAGACGUGGUAAUUCAUUUCCCUCUUUGUCAAGUCCUCCACUUUGGCCCAGGAAAACCUGAAUCAUCCCAGGAUGAUCACGAACAUUAUUCCCAGGCCAUGGAGUCCCAUCCUGCAUUGUCC
This 211-nucleotide unclassified non-coding RNA is filed under the name Hevea brasiliensis (rubber tree). Lineage: Eukaryota; Viridiplantae; Streptophyta; Magnoliopsida; Malpighiales; Euphorbiaceae. The record is from RNAcentral.